RNAcentral lists this ribosomal RNA (253 nucleotides) under uncultured bacterium. RNAcentral describes it as "partial 16S ribosomal RNA". It matches the Rfam family "Bacterial small subunit ribosomal RNA", at positions 524 to 776 of the family's 1533-position model. The record is from RNAcentral.
UACGUAGGGGGCAAGCGUUGUCCGGAUUUAUUGGGCGUAAAGAGCGUGUAGGCGGCCAGGUAGGUCAGCUGUGAAAACUCGAGGCUCAACCUCGAGACGUCGGUUGAAACCACCUGGCUAGAGUCCGGAAGAGGAGAGUGGAAUUCCUGGUGUAGCGGUGAAAUGCGCAGAUAUCAGGAAGAACACCGAUGGCGAAGGCAGCUCACUGGGACGGUACUGACGCUGAGACGCGAAAGCGUGGGGAGCAAACAGG